Molecule: ribosomal RNA, 507 nt
Filed under: uncultured bacterium
Lineage: Bacteria
Description: partial 16S ribosomal RNA
Rfam family: Bacterial small subunit ribosomal RNA
Source: RNAcentral
GACGAACGCUGGCGGCGUGCUUAACACAUGCAAGUCGAACGAGAAAGCCCUUCGGGGUAAGUACAGUGGCGAACGGGUGAGUAACACGUGGGCAACCUGCCCCAGAGAGCGGGACAACCCGGGGAAACCCGGGCUAAUACCGCAUGAUGCGUCUUCACUUAAGUGGAGCCGCCAAAUGGUAGCUUCGGCCCCCGCUCUGGGAUUGGCCCGCGCCGGAUUAGCUAGUUGGUUGGGGUAACGGCCCACCAAGGCGACGAUCCGUAGCUGGUCUGAGAGGACGAUCAGCCACACUGGGACUGAGACACGGCCCAGACUCCUACGGGAGGCAGCAGUGGGGAAUCUUGCGCAAUGGGCGAAAGCCUGACGCAGCAACGCCGCGUGGGGGAAGAAGGCCUUCGGGUUGUAAACCUCUUUCAGUAGGGACGAAGCUUCCGGGGUUAAUAGCCUACGGGGUGACGGUACCUACAGAAGAAGCCCCGGCUAACUACGUGCCAGCCGCCGCCGUAA